Molecule: ribosomal RNA, 301 nt
Filed under: uncultured bacterium
Lineage: Bacteria
Description: partial 16S ribosomal RNA
Rfam family: Bacterial small subunit ribosomal RNA
Source: RNAcentral
CAGCAGCCACGGUAAUACGAAGGGUGCAAGCGUUAAUCGGAAUUACUGGGCGUAAAGCGUGCGUAGGCGGUGAGUUAAGUCCGCUGUGAAAUCCCCGGGCUCAACCUGGGAAUGGCAGUGGAUACUGGCUCGCUAGAGUGUGUCAGAGGAUGGUGGAAUUCCCGGUGUAGCGGUGAAAUGCGUAGAGAUCGGGAGGAACAUCAGUGGCGAAGGCGGCCAUCUGGGACAACACUGACGCUGAGGCACGAAAGCGUGGGGAGCAAACAGGAUUAGAUACCCGCGUAGUCCCUGUCUCUUAUAC